GCCAGGUGUGGUGGUGUGCACCUAUAGUCCCAGCUACUCAGGAGGCUGAGGCAGGAGGAUCCCUUGAGCCUGGGAAGUCAAGGCUGCAGUGAGCAGUAAUACUGUCAUUGCACUCCAGCCUGGGUGAUAGAGUGAGACCCUGUCUCUA
Unclassified non-coding RNA from Papio anubis (olive baboon), 148 nucleotides. It matches the Rfam family "Metazoan signal recognition particle RNA". From Rfam's summary of the family: The signal recognition particle (SRP) is a universally conserved ribonucleoprotein. It is involved in the co-translational targeting of proteins to membranes. The record is from Ensembl. NCBI's taxonomy places the organism in Eukaryota, Metazoa, Chordata, Mammalia, Primates, Cercopithecidae.